This 788-nucleotide ribosomal RNA is filed under the name uncultured Haemophilus sp. RNAcentral describes it as "bacterial SSU rRNA". It matches the Rfam family "Bacterial small subunit ribosomal RNA", at positions 99 to 885 of the family's 1533-position model. Lineage: Bacteria; Pseudomonadati; Pseudomonadota; Gammaproteobacteria; Pasteurellales; Pasteurellaceae. The record is from RNAcentral.
CGGACGGGUGAGUAAUGCUUGGGAAUCUGGCUUAUGGAGGGGGAUAACUACGGGAAACUGUAGCUAAUACCGCGUAGUAUCGAGAGAUGAAAGACUGGGACCGCAAGGCCAGUUGCCAUAAGAUGAGCCCAAGUGGGAUUAGGUAGUUGGUGGGGUAAAGGCCUACCAAGCCGACGAUCUCUAGCUGGUCUGAGAGGAUGACCAGCCACACUGGAACUGAGACACGGUCCAGACUCCUACGGGAGGCAGCAGUGGGGAAUAUUGCACAAUGGGGGGAACCCUGAUGCAGCCAUGCCGCGUGAAUGAAGAAGGCCUUCGGGUUGUAAAGUUCUUUCGGUGAUGAGGAAGGCGGUUGUUUUAAUAGAACAAUCGAUUGACGUUAGUCACAGAAGAAGCACCGGCUAACUCCGUGCCAGCAGCCGCGGUAAUACGGAGGGUGCGAGCGUUAAUCGGAAUGACUGAGCGUAAAGGGCACGCAGGCGGUAACUUAAGUGAGAUGUGAAAGCCCCGAGCUUAACUUGGGAAUUGCAUUUCAUACUGGGUUGCUAGAGUAUUUUAGGGAGGGGUAGAAUUCCACGUGUAGCGGUGAAAUGCGUAGAGAUGUGGAGGAAUACCGAAGGCGAAGGCAGCCCCUUGGGAAUAUACUGACGCUCAUGUGCGAAAGCGUGGGGAGCAAACAGGAUUAGAUACCCUGGUAGUCCACGCUGUAAACGCUGUCGAUUUGGGGAUUGGGCUUUGUGCUUGGUGCCCGUAGCUAACGUGAUAAAUCGACCGCCUGGGGAGUACGG